RNAcentral lists this transfer RNA (72 nucleotides) under Ictidomys tridecemlineatus (thirteen-lined ground squirrel). RNAcentral describes it as "Spermophilus tridecemlineatus (thirteen-lined ground squirrel) tRNA". It matches the Rfam family "tRNA". Rfam says of the family: Transfer RNA (tRNA) molecules are approximately 80 nucleotides in length. Their secondary structure includes four short double-helical elements and three loops (D, anti-codon, and T loops). Further hydrogen bonds mediate the characteristic L-shaped molecular structure. tRNAs have two regions of fundamental functional importance: the anti-codon, which is responsible for specific mRNA codon recognition, and the 3' end, to which the tRNAs corresponding amino acid is attached (by aminoacyl-tRNA synthetases). tRNAs cope with the degeneracy of the genetic code in two manners: having more than one tRNA (with a specific anti-codon) for a particular amino acid; and 'wobble' base-pairing, i.e. permitting non-standard base-pairing at the 3rd anti-codon position. Lineage: Eukaryota; Metazoa; Chordata; Mammalia; Rodentia; Sciuridae. The record is from Rfam by way of RNAcentral.
GGCAGUGUAGCUCAGAGGCAGAGUGCCUGCCUAGCAUGCCUGAGUCCCAGGGUUCAAUCCCCUGCACUACAA